AGAGUUUGAUCAUGGCUCAGAUUGAACGCUGGCGGAAUGCUUUACACAUGCAAGUCGAACGGCAGCACGGGGCAACCUGGUGGCGAGUGGCGAACGGGUGAGUAAUACAUCGGAACGUGCCCAAUCGUGGGGGAUAACGUAGCGAAAGUUACGCUAAUACCGCAUACGAUCUACGGAUGAAAGCGGGGGAUCGCAAGACCUCGCGCGAGUGGAGCGGCCGAUGUCAGAUUAGGUAGUUGGUGGGGUAAAGGCUCACCAAGCCAACGAUCUGUAGCUGGUCUGAGAGGGCGACCAGCCACACUGGAACUGAGACACGGUCCAGACUCCUACGGGAGGCAGCAGUGGGGAAUUUUGGACAAUGGGCGCAAGCCUGAUCCAGCCAUUCCGCGUGCAGGAUGAAGGCCUUCGGGUUGUAAACUGCUUUUGUACGGAACGAAACGGCGAGCUCUAAUACAGUUUGCUAAUGACGGUACCGUAAGAAUAAGCACCGGCUAACUACGUG
RNAcentral lists this ribosomal RNA (502 nucleotides) under uncultured bacterium. Its description in RNAcentral is "bacterial SSU rRNA". It matches the Rfam family "Bacterial small subunit ribosomal RNA", at positions 8 to 507 of the family's 1533-position model. The record is from RNAcentral.